Long non-coding RNA from Passer domesticus (house sparrow), 956 nucleotides. RefSeq lists it as uncharacterized. The record is from RefSeq and is a predicted model, not a curated record. The transcript has 3 exons. Lineage: Eukaryota; Metazoa; Chordata; Aves; Passeriformes; Passeridae.
CUCAGGAAGUUCAGCAAACUUCUGAGAAAUCACUGAAAAACAACAAAUGGAAAAAGAGCUGAUUUCAUUAAGACAAGAAACCAUUUCCACGGGCCACCAGUCUGAUACUGCCAGGCGAAAGCAAGGCAGUCCUGGAAUAUCUAAAGCACUGUUUUCAGAAAGAGGCCAUGGUAAAAAGAAACAUAGGAGAACGAGGAGUGCUCAGGGAAGUUGUCUUUAACUGUAAUGCAGACAGAACUUACUAAAGAGAGCACAUCUGAAAAAUUGGAUUGGAACAGAAACAGCUGAUUUUUACUGGAUCAAACUGGCAAACACUGUCACCUAUGUGAAUUUCUCCACCUUUAAAAAUAAACAGAUCUUUGCACUGUGCAUAGAUGUCGGAACCCAGGAUAUCCCUCUGGGUGCCCUGGAUGGCUCAAGAUCCUGGCAGGGGUUUGGAGACCCUGGCAGGAAGCCAAAGACACUUGGGAAUUUGAUCUCAACCCAUGGAGCAAAUAACCAACUUUAUAUGAAGAACUACAAGUCACAAAAGUUUAAGAAGAAUAAUAGUAGCUGUCUCGGGAUGAAAAGUGGAAUUUUGAAGAUUUUUAUUAUAGGGGUCUAGGAGGCAAGAUGGAGGGAUUUGGGCGUUGUCCUGUUCUUCUUCCUUCUUCUUCCUAGCCUCCAUCUUCUCAGUAAUGGUGGCACUUUGGGAUUGGCGUAAAGUAGAAAGUCACUGUCUAACAUAGGUGAUAGGUAUUGGAACAUAACUGUAAAUAUCGAAUAUGUAGCUUAUAGGCAUCUCAUACAUCUAUUUUAACCACCCUACUGGGAACAAAAAUGGGCAGGUUUCCAAAGAAUUUGCACCACAGAAAGUUUCUAUCAGCUGCCAUAGAGAGACAUUCUCCACAGUGAAAUGUGUUGGAACUAAGCAACAUAUUUUUGUCACAAAAUAAAAGUAUAGUCAUCUAUUCAAA